This 73-nucleotide transfer RNA is filed under the name Stegodyphus mimosarum. It matches the Rfam family "tRNA". Rfam says of the family: Transfer RNA (tRNA) molecules are approximately 80 nucleotides in length. The record is from Rfam by way of RNAcentral. Lineage: Eukaryota; Metazoa; Arthropoda; Arachnida; Araneae; Eresidae.
GCCUUCGUGGUGUAGUGGUCAGCACGCUGGGUGCGUAUUCCAGAGGUCCGUGGUUCGAGUCCCGGCGAAGGCU